This is a long non-coding RNA of Electrophorus electricus (electric eel), 447 nucleotides long. RefSeq lists it as uncharacterized. Lineage: Eukaryota; Metazoa; Chordata; Actinopteri; Gymnotiformes; Gymnotidae. The record is from RefSeq and is a predicted model, not a curated record.
GGAAGAAGGAACUGGAAAAGGAGAAGAGUUGAGAAAAAAGUUUUAGAAAAGCACAGGAUUUAUUCCUUGGUCAGUUCACUGAUGGAAAAGGCUUCUGUUAAUCCUGUGAGGGGCACAGAGGACACCGGAAGCCGAUGGAAAGAUCUAGAGUCGUUAGUUGGUGGAGGAACUUCAGUGGGAAAAUAACAUCUGGCUGUCAGCACAGCCGAAGCAGUUUUAUCACAGCGGACUACAUAAGGCCUGAAGCUAGCUAUGAAACAGAGGACGUGUCUGCUGAACACGGAGGUGGAAGGAGUGUUGUUAGAGAGAUCUUCACAUCUCCACGCCACCAGCUGGAUGUCCCACGUCCCCAUGACACCCCUCCCCUAGCCAGCUUCUGUCCCACUGAUCUGUCUUCUGUCCGCAGUCUCCUGUCAACAGCAGUGCUUAUCUGAGGAAGUGCAUAAU